This 253-nucleotide ribosomal RNA is filed under the name uncultured bacterium. RNAcentral describes it as "partial 16S ribosomal RNA". It matches the Rfam family "Bacterial small subunit ribosomal RNA", at positions 524 to 776 of the family's 1533-position model. The record is from RNAcentral.
UACGUAUGGUGCAAGCGUUAUCCGGAUUUACUGGGCGUAAAGGGAGCGCAGGCGGCGCGCCAAGUCUGAUGUGAAACCCCGGGGCUCAACCCCGGGCAUGCUUUGGAAACUGGCGGGCUGGAGUGCCGGAGAGGUAAGCGGAAUUCCUAGUGUAGCGGUGAAAUGCGUAGAUAUUAGGAGGAACACCAGUGGCGAAGGCGGCUUACUGGACGGCAACUGACGCUGAGGCUCGAAAGCGUGGGGAGCAAACAGG